CCAAUGAAAUAUGGAAGUGAUACACCCACAGCUGCUGCAGAUAUGAUUAAUAGAAAUCCAAAGCCAUAACCAAAUGUCAUCCCAGCUACCCACAUAGAAGGUGUAGAUGGUAAAAGUAGGGCGGGGAACAAUGCCACAGAAGCAAAGAGCAGAACUGCCAGAACUGGAGUGCUAAAUGUUGUUGUCUCCCAAUUAAUGAUGGGUAUGAGCUCCUUGUC
Molecule: unclassified non-coding RNA, 218 nt
Filed under: Hevea brasiliensis (rubber tree)
Lineage: Eukaryota; Viridiplantae; Streptophyta; Magnoliopsida; Malpighiales; Euphorbiaceae
Source: RNAcentral